RNAcentral lists this ribosomal RNA (478 nucleotides) under uncultured bacterium. RNAcentral's name for it is "partial 16S ribosomal RNA". It matches the Rfam family "Bacterial small subunit ribosomal RNA", at positions 28 to 507 of the family's 1533-position model. The record is from RNAcentral.
GAUGAACGCUGGCGGCGUGCUUAACACAUGCAAGUCGAACGAGAAGUGAAGACGGAAACCUUCGGGCGGAAGGCUUUAUUUCGAGUGGCGGACGGGUGAGUAACGCGUGGGUAACCUGCCUCAUACAGGGGGAUAACAGUUGGAAACGACUGUUAAUACCGCAUAAGACCACAGCACCGCAUGGUGCGGGGGUAAAAACUCCGGUGGUAUGAGAUGGACCCGCGUUCGAUUAGCCAGUUGGCGGGGUAACGGCCCACCAAAGCGACGAUCGAUAGCCGAUCUGAGAGGAUGAGCGGCCACAUUGGGACUGAGACACGGCCCAAGCUCCUACGGGAGGCAGCAGUGGGGAAUAUUGCACAAUGGGGGAAACCCUGAUGCAGCGACGCCGCGUGAGUGAAGAAGUAUUUCGGUAUGUAAAGCUCUAUCAGCAGGGAAGAAAAUGACGGUACCUGAGUAAGAAGCCCCGGCUAACUACGUG